GGUGCAUGUUGCGCGCAAUCCUCAGUAUAAGAAUUGGCUUUAUUUGGUGGGUGCAAAGUGUGUCUCAGUCUAAACAUAUGACUCCAAUCUAAGUUAAGUUCAAUCCUUGGCAAAACCCCAACAAUUGCAAGCAGCUAUGGCUAAAGUAUGUAUAUAACUAUGGAGCAUAAAUAUUUGGCCUUGGUAGGAAUUUUAUAAUCAUUGAGGAACCAUUGUUUUUAGAUAUUUUUCAAAUAAAUUCUCUAAUAAUCAUGCAAGCCUAGAAUAAAAAUAUAGCAGCUCUUGUCUUACUAUCUCAUAUCUCACAACAACUUAGACGUAGUUUUAGCACUUGCAACCCACAGAAAGAAAUCAGGUUCAUGGUUGUCUUAUGUGAGCCAAGUGAUCCAUACUUAGAAAAAUACUAAGUUGAGUGCUAGAUACUAGAGAAAUAUUAACAGAGCAACUAUUCAUCAUUUCCAAGAGAAAGAUGGCAUGCAUGGCAAAUUUUAUUUUUUUUAUUUUUUUCAUGAAGCAUAGAACAACUGAAAUUGCAAUAAAUUUAAAAAGGGCUAGAAUGCUUACCUUGGUGGGGGAGAGGAUCUCCCCCAAGCUUGUCUCUUCUCAUGCCUCCUCACUGAUAUGGUGGAUAGUUAUAUGGAUAUGGUGGAGGAUAUGAGGGUUGCUGAGGAUAUGGUGGAGGAUAUGAGGGCUGCUGAGGAUAUGGUGGAGGAUAUGAGGGCUGCUGAGGAUAUGGUAGAGGAUACUGUGGAGAUGGGUCUUGCUGCCGCUGUGGUGGCAUUGGAAUGAAUGGAAUAUUUGGUGGUAGUGGCCUCUGAUGGUGUGCAUACAUCCUGUUGCAGCCUAUGUUUUGUUGGACUUAGAGAUCUAGGAGGGCUUGCUGGGUUUGAGUUGCAGUGUUUUGCAUGGCCUCAUGUCCAAUGCGCAGCACACCAAUUUGUUGGGUCAGCUUGUCCAUGUCAAUGUGUUGAGCAUGGGGCUAUGAAUCCUGUAAAGAAGAACAAGACAUACGGCCACUGUGGGCACCAGACCUGCGUCCCGACUGGGACGUCUGCAUCCCACUAAAACUUCCUUCAUAGU
This 1080-nucleotide long non-coding RNA is filed under the name Sorghum bicolor (sorghum). RNAcentral's name for it is "long non-coding RNA (SBIC_LNC014812)". The record is from RNAcentral. Lineage: Eukaryota; Viridiplantae; Streptophyta; Magnoliopsida; Poales; Poaceae.